GUUUCAGUUGCAGCUUCCAAAUUCAUAAUAUUAUUUAUGGCUGGACAACACAUGAGUUUUGUUGAUUCCAGUACACACUCAGAUUCACUGUCGACUUUAAUAGUGUGCUUACAGUUUUGCCCUUUUACCUGUCUGAAAUCUCCCUCUGAUUUAGGGGCGCUGUGAAACUUGAAAGAGGAUCGGAGGGAAAAGAGAGAGGAAAGGCAUCAGCUAUUUUGGUCCCUUUUGCCAUACUAGAGGCAAGCAAUACAGGGAGGGAAGCAGCGGGCACCUGGAUUAAAGCAAUCUUGAUCCAGGAAUUUGAUUUCUUCUUGAAAGAAGAAAAAAGGAACGAUCUAGAGCCAGAAACCAGUCACGUCCUCCUAUAAAAUCAGCCCUCGAUGAAACCCCAACAACACCCAGCUAGAACCAAGUCCUCCUCUGCUAAGGGCUAACCCGAUACCCUCCAAUUCGGGUCAAGGUCUGCUGAGGUUGUUGUCAUCUAAUUUUGCCUAAUCCAAAUGCUAAGAAAAAGAAAUCAGUAAGCUCAUUGUUUGAGUUUGGUUAGGCAUUUUCAGGUUGUUCAAGUUUGCUGCAGGUUACAGAACAUAUUCCAUGGAAAUGCUAUCACCUUUGGAUUAGGCAAAAAAUAUAGGAUUGACCAUUAAGAA
Molecule: long non-coding RNA, 650 nt
Organism: Populus euphratica (Euphrates poplar)
Lineage: Eukaryota; Viridiplantae; Streptophyta; Magnoliopsida; Malpighiales; Salicaceae
Exons: 3
Source: RefSeq, a predicted model, not a curated record